This 1227-nucleotide ribosomal RNA is filed under the name metagenome. RNAcentral describes it as "bacterial LSU rRNA". It matches the Rfam family "Bacterial large subunit ribosomal RNA", at positions 1564 to 2800 of the family's 2925-position model. The record is from RNAcentral.
UGAAUACGAGACGCUAAGGCGUUGAAGUAGUGUAUGUCAUACUUUCAAGAAAAGCUUGCACUGUCAUAGAUAAAAAACGCCUGUACCAUAACCGACACAGGUGGGUAGGUAGAGUAUACUAAGGGGCGCGAGAUAACUCUCUCUAAGGAACUCGGCAAAAUAACUCCGUAACUUCGGGAGAAGGAGUGCCUUAUUUAUAAGGCUGCAAUAACAAGAUCCAAGCAACUGUUUAUCAAAAACACAGGUCUCCGCUAAGUCGUAAGGCGAUGUAUGGGGGCUGACGCCUGCCCAGUGCCAGAAGGUUAAAGAAGUUGGUUAGCAAUAGCGAAGCUGAUAACUGAAGCCCUGGUGAACGGCGGCCGUAACAAUAACGGUCCUAAGGUAGCGAAAUUCCUUGUCGGGUAAGUUCCGACCCGCACGAAAGGCGUAAUGAUUUGGAUACUGUCUCGGAGAGGGGCUCGGUGAAAUAGACUUGUCUGUGAAGAUGCGGACUACCUGCACCAGGACAGAAAGACCCUAUGAAGCUUUACUGUAACUUGAAAUUGAAAUUGGACUUUAUUCGCGCAGUAUAGGUGGGAGGCGUUGAUUGUAAUCUUGCGGGAUUAUUGGAGCCAUCAGUGAGAUACCACCCUUGUAAUGUUAGAUUUCUAACUUUGAAUCAUUAUCUGGUCAAAGAACAGUUUCAGGCGGGCAGUUUGACUGGGGCGGUCGCCUCCUAAACGGUAACGGAGGCGUACAAAGGUUUCCUCUGAACGGUUAGAAAUCGUAUCUAGAGUGUAAAGGCAUAAGGAAGCUUGACUGUGAGACCUACAAGUCGAGCAGGGACGAAAGUCGGUCUUAGUGAUCUGACGGUACUGAGUGGAAAGGCCGUCACUCAACGGAUAAAAGUUACUCUAAGGAUAACAGGCUGAUCUCCCCCAAGAGUUCACAUCGACGGGGAGGUUUGGCACCUCGAUGUCGGCUCAUCGCAUCCUGGGGCGGUAGUACGUCCCAAGGGUUGGGCUGUUCGCCCAUGAAAGCGGUACGCGAGCUGGGUUCAGAACGUCGUGAGACAGUUCGGUCCAUAUCCGGUGUAGGCGUUAGAAUAUUGAGAGGAGCCUUCUUUAGUACGAGAGGACCGAGAAGGACAUACCUCUGGUGUACCAGUUAUCGUGCCAACGGUAAACGCUGGGUAGCUAUGUAUGGAGUGGAUAACCGCUGAAAGCAUCUAAGUGGGAAGCCCACCUC